Molecule: ribosomal RNA, 495 nt
Filed under: uncultured bacterium
Lineage: Bacteria
Description: partial 16S ribosomal RNA
Rfam family: Bacterial small subunit ribosomal RNA
Source: RNAcentral
GACGAACGCUGGCGGCGUGCCUAAUACAUGCAAGUAGAACGCUGAAGGAGGAGCUUGCUUCUCUGGAUGAGUUGCGAAAGGGUGAGUAACGCGUAGGUAACCUGCCUGGUAGCGGGGGAUAACUAUUGGAAACGAUAGCUAAUACCGCAUAAGAGUAGAUGUCGCAUGACAUUUGCUUAAAAGGUGCAAUUGCAUCACUACCAGAUGGACCUGCGUUGUAUUAGCUAGUUGGUGAGGUAACGGCUCACCAAGGCAACGAUACAUAGCCGACCUGAGAGGGGGAUCGGCCACACUGGGACUGAGACACGGCCCAGACUCCUACGGGAGGCAGCAGUAGGGAAUCGUCGGCAAUGGACGGAAGUCUGACCGAGCAACGCCGCGUGAGUGAAGAAGGUUUUCGGAUCGUAAAGCUCUGUUGUAAGAGAAGAACGAGUGUGAGAGUGGAAAGUUCACACUGUGACGGUAGCUUACCAGAAAGGGACGGCUAACUACGUG